GACGUAGGGGCGAGCGUUGUCCGGAAUUACUGGGCGUAAAGAGCACGUAGGCGGGAACCUAAGUCAGGUGUGAAAGACCGUGGCUCAACCACGGGGUGGCAUUUGAAACUGGGUUUCUUGAGGGCAGGAGAGGAAAGCAGAAUUCCUGGUGUAGCGGUGAAAUGCGUAGAAAUCAGGAGGAAUACCAGUGGCGAAGGCGGCUUUCUGGACUGACCCUGACGCUGAGGUGCGAAAGCGUGGGUAGCAAACAGGAUUAGAUACCCCGGUAGUCCCUGAGCGGGCU
RNAcentral lists this ribosomal RNA (283 nucleotides) under uncultured prokaryote. RNAcentral's name for it is "partial 16S ribosomal RNA". It matches the Rfam family "Bacterial small subunit ribosomal RNA", at positions 524 to 817 of the family's 1533-position model. The record is from RNAcentral.